UAAUUUACGCUUUUUAUAUUAUAAUCAUAUUACCAUUUUUUCCUUACAGAACAGUACAGUGAACAUAAUUUUGUUACAACCUUUGUGAUAAUUUGUUUGUUUUUAUCUCAUAAUUAGGACUGUUAAAAAUCUGUUAUGACUCUGUAUCUCAUAACUUUUAUUCAUUUUUUUAUAUCUUAAUAAUUUUGGCUUUUCAUAUUAUAAUCAUAUUACCAUUUUGUCCUUACAGAACAGUACAGUAAACACUUCCCUGAUACCUAGUUUCUGCCUGAGGAAAGUCAUGUACUGAUGAGGAGGAUGUGAAGCUCAGGACUGGUCAUCACAUCAACAUCAAUCUACAGACACACAUGCCAUUUUAAUAAAGAUUUAUUAAAGAAAGCC
Danio rerio (zebrafish) is the source of this 381-nucleotide non-coding RNA. Lineage: Eukaryota; Metazoa; Chordata; Actinopteri; Cypriniformes; Danionidae. The record is from RefSeq and is a predicted model, not a curated record.